AUUGAACGCUGGCGGUAUGCUUAACACAUGCAAGUCGAACGGCGGCAUAGUCUGUAGCAAUACAGAUGGGUGGCGAGUGGCGGACGGGUGAGUAACACGUAGGAAUCUGCCCUAUAGAGGGGGAUAACCCGAGGAAACUCGGGCUAAUACCGCAUAGACUCUGAGGAGUAAAGCGGGGGUUAAACCUGGCGCUAUGGGAGGAGCCUGCGUCUGAUUAGCUAGUUGGUAGGGUAAAGGCCUACCAAGGCGACGAUCAGUAGGUGGUCUGAGAGGAUGAUCACCCACACUGGGACUGAGACACGGCCCAGACUCCUACGGGAGGCAGCAGUGGGGAAUAUUGGACAAUGGGGGCAACCCUGAUCCAGCAAUACCGCGUGUGUGAAGAAGGCCUUUGGGUUGUAAAGCACUUUAGGCGGGGAAGAAGAUAAUUUGUUUAAGAGAUGAGUUAUUUGACGGUACCCGCAGAAUAAGCACCGGCUAACUCUGUGCCAGCAGCCGCCGUAA
Molecule: ribosomal RNA, 504 nt
Filed under: uncultured bacterium
Lineage: Bacteria
Description: partial 16S ribosomal RNA
Rfam family: Bacterial small subunit ribosomal RNA
Source: RNAcentral